Molecule: transfer RNA, 86 nt
Filed under: Pseudomonadota bacterium
Lineage: Bacteria; Pseudomonadati; Pseudomonadota
Description: Proteobacteria bacterium (cold seep metagenome) tRNA-Ser
Rfam family: tRNA
About the family: Transfer RNA (tRNA) molecules are approximately 80 nucleotides in length. Their secondary structure includes four short double-helical elements and three loops (D, anti-codon, and T loops). Further hydrogen bonds mediate the characteristic L-shaped molecular structure. tRNAs have two regions of fundamental functional importance: the anti-codon, which is responsible for specific mRNA codon recognition, and the 3' end, to which the tRNAs corresponding amino acid is attached (by aminoacyl-tRNA synthetases). tRNAs cope with the degeneracy of the genetic code in two manners: having more than one tRNA (with a specific anti-codon) for a particular amino acid; and 'wobble' base-pairing, i.e. permitting non-standard base-pairing at the 3rd anti-codon position.
Source: RNAcentral
GGAGGGUUAGUCUAAUUGGUAAGGCACCGGUCUUGAAAACCGGCGGGUUAAUCCCCAUGAGGGUUCGAGCCCCUCACCCUCCGCCA